RNAcentral lists this ribosomal RNA (252 nucleotides) under uncultured bacterium. RNAcentral describes it as "partial 16S ribosomal RNA". It matches the Rfam family "Bacterial small subunit ribosomal RNA", at positions 524 to 776 of the family's 1533-position model. The record is from RNAcentral.
UACGGAGGGGCUAGCGUUGUUCGGAAUUACUGGGCGUAAAGCGCGUGUAGGCGGCCCUGCAAGUCGGGUGUGAAAUCCCAUGGCUCAACCAUGGAAGUGCACUCGAAACUGCAGGGCUAGAGUCCUGGAGAGGAAGGUGGAAUGCUUGGUGUAGAGGUGAAAUUCGUAGAUAUCAAGCGGAACACCGGUGGCGAAGGCGGCCUUCUGGACAGUGACUGACGCUGAGACGCGAAAGCGUGGGGAGCAAACAGG